This is a long non-coding RNA of Pectinophora gossypiella (pink bollworm), 817 nucleotides long. RefSeq lists it as uncharacterized. The transcript has 2 exons. Lineage: Eukaryota; Metazoa; Arthropoda; Insecta; Lepidoptera; Gelechiidae. The record is from RefSeq and is a predicted model, not a curated record.
UGGAAUCAUUCUGCAACAAGCUCUACAGAGUUAAGCAUCGCAUUCUAAAUAUAAAUUCUAAAACUCAAAUUCGAAUUUUCAAAAUGAAUUUCAACAAGUUGUUCUUCUUUGCUUGUGUCUGCGUCAUGGCUUUGACUACAGUAUUUGCUGCGCCGAAUCCGCGGUGGAAUCCUUUUAAGAAACUGGAAAAGGUCGGCAGGAAUAUCCGUGAUGGAAUAAUCAAGGCGGGACCAGCUGUUCAGGUGGUGGGUGAUGCCGCAACCAUCUACAGAGGUUGAAAAUAACCACCGUUGUCUUCAUAUAAAAUCACAAUCAUCACUGAUUCCAGUAUACACCAUUUAAGUUUAUUUUAAGUUAUACCUCCGAAAAGGAAAGAGAUGUGUAAUCAACAGUCAUAAAAUUUGUGAAAAUCAAUUUUAUGCAUAAAUUUAAAAAACCCUUUCAAGUUUUAUAUUGGCCAAUAACUCGACAGAAUUAAGUUGACAACACACGCCAAACGGGCUGCAUACCAGCGAGUUGCCCAUUUUAUUCGCUCGGGCUGUUCAUUCAUUUUAAAAUUUACAGUUGUUAAUCAUUCGUCCCUUUCCUUUUUCACUUAAAAUGAAAUUAGGAGGUGUCUGCAGGAAUCCGUGCCAUUAUGCUACUUCGUCAAACCUUCUGGUUUCAUAGUUAAUAAACCGACAUAGUUCUCUGUUGCCUAUAGCUUAAUUUAAAUAAGAUCGACUGAAUGUUAAAGAGAUUAUCUAACUUAUUGUAAAUAUGAUUUAUGUAAUUUAUUGUAUUUCUAAGUGCCAUUAAAUAAACGUAAGAUAAGAAA